RNAcentral lists this ribosomal RNA (403 nucleotides) under uncultured bacterium. Its description in RNAcentral is "bacterial SSU rRNA". It matches the Rfam family "Bacterial small subunit ribosomal RNA", at positions 32 to 417 of the family's 1533-position model. The record is from RNAcentral.
AAUCAACGCUGGCGGCGUGCCUAACACAUGCAAGUCGAGCGGGAAAGAGGGCUUCGGCCCCUGAGUAUAGCGGCGGACGGGUGAGUAACACGUGGGUAAUUUGCCCUUGGGUGUGGAAUAACUCAGGGAAACUUGAGCUAAUACCGCAUGACAUCCCCUUCACACACGAGUCGGGGAUCAAAGCCGGGGACCCUUCGGGGCCUGGCGCCUGAGGAGAAGCCCGCGCCCGAUUAGCUAGUGGUGAGGUAAUGGCUCACCAAGGCUUCGAUCGGUAGCCGGCCUGAGAGGGCGGACGGCCACACUGGGACUGAGACACGGCCCAGACUCCUACGGGAGGCAGCAGUGGGAAUUUUGUCAAUGGGGAAACCCUGAACAAGCAACGCCGCGUGGAGGACGACGACCU